Molecule: long non-coding RNA, 418 nt
Filed under: Hordeum vulgare
Lineage: Eukaryota; Viridiplantae; Streptophyta; Magnoliopsida; Poales; Poaceae
Description: long non-coding RNA (HVUL_LNC001127)
Source: RNAcentral
UUUUAGUGAUUAACAUACAUGAAAUUGAGUGGAGCAGAAACUAACUAAGAUUAACUAAUUACAGUGCAACAUACCUUCUCCUUUGCACAAGCAAGAAACCGUCGACCAGUGUGAGUAGAUUGAAAUGCAACUUGCCUGAGGCAAGGCUCUAGAUGCACACAACGAGAAGAUAGUUCAUGAGCAAUGCAACUCCAUUCAUAGCAUGUGAUAGUCCUAGGAAGCUAAAAACAGAAGACACCGAACUGUUAUGAAAUCCCGAAAUGAAGAACCCUAAACCUAUUAACCGUAAAUGUUGGAAUCCCGAAAUUAACGUACCUGGCUGGUCACACUAUCGUCAUCCCAAGAAGAGCUUGAUCCCUCGCUCCAAUAGACCAUGGUAGAUUAAUUGGCAGACCUAAAUAUUUAUACUACUUAAUUA